GUGUUUUAUUUAUUUCUUCUAAUAUACAUGUCGGUACGUUUGAAGGCAAAGGAUAGAAUGUCUCAUCUUCGUAUAUUAACGAAUAAAUGAAGGACCAAAGAACUAAGAAUUGUGAUUAUGCUUACGUUUCCAUUGAAAUACGCUUAGUAUAACGAUGAGGGUGACAAUUGCAUAGUUACUAUAAUACAUGUAUCUAAUUUAUUUAUUCACGUGUGUAAUGAGGUCGAUUGACUUGAUCUACCACAAAGGUAUUAUGGAAAUGCGAUCGAGUAUUAACCAGGUAACUUAUUAUUUAUACAAGGUCCGUCUACGGUUGAAGGUAAUUAUUGGAUAACUUCGCUAAUAUUUCACAAUACUAAAAUAAAAAAUGAGCUAAACUCGUAUUUGACCAUAUUCCUGGGAUAUCAACAGUCCACUAUAUGAUUUUGCUUAAUAAGAAUCAUUAGCUAUCUGAAUGCAUGAUUAUUUAACAGCAUCCCUCGCAGACAGAAUUCUAUACCCUUUACGAUCUAAUAAUUGCAAAUAUUUCAUACAUGUAUGGGAAUAUUAGAUGAUUACCGUUAAAGUGAUUUAUUGCUAAAAAUUGCAAAUACAGUUUUCCC
Molecule: non-coding RNA, 602 nt
Organism: Schizosaccharomyces pombe (fission yeast)
Lineage: Eukaryota; Fungi; Ascomycota; Schizosaccharomycetes; Schizosaccharomycetales; Schizosaccharomycetaceae
Source: the annotation of a GenBank genome assembly